RNAcentral lists this ribosomal RNA (792 nucleotides) under uncultured archaeon. RNAcentral's name for it is "bacterial SSU rRNA". It matches the Rfam family "Archaeal small subunit ribosomal RNA", at positions 85 to 878 of the family's 1478-position model. The record is from RNAcentral.
ACUGCUCAGUAACACGUGGAUAACCUACCCUUGGGACGGGGAUAAACCCGGGAAACUGGGUAUAAUACCCGAUAGUCCUCGAAUGCUGGAAUGCGUCGAGGGCGAAAGCUCCGGCGCCCAAGGAUGGGUCUGCGGCCUAUCAGGUAGUAGUGGGUGUAAUGGACCUACUAGCCUACAACGGGUACGGGUUGUGAGAGCAAGAGCCCGGAGAUGGAUUCUGAGACACGAAUCCAGGCCCUACGGGGUGCAGCAGGCGCGAAACCUUUACAAUGCUGGCAACAGCGAUAGGGGGACCUCGAGUGCCAGGUUACAAAUCUGGCUGUCGUUGUGUCUAAAAAACACGAUAUAGCAAGGGCCGGGCAAGACCGGUGCCAGCCGCCGCGGUAACACCGGCGGCUCGAGUGGUAACCGCUAUUAUUGGGUUUAAAGGGUCUGUAGCCGGCCUGGUUAGUCCUUUGGGAAAUCCGGCAGCUCAACUGUCGGGCUUCAGAGGAUACUGCCAGGCUCGAGACCGGGAGAGGUAAGAGGUACUUCAGGGGUAGGGGUGAAAUCUUGUAAUCCUUGAAGGACCACCAGUGGCGAAGGCGUCUUACCAGAACGGAUCUGACGGCAAGGGACGAAAGCUAGGGGCACGAACCGGAUUAGAUACCCGGGUAGUCCUAGCCGUAAACGAUACUCGCUAGGUGUCGGCCACGGUGCGACCGUGGUCGGUGCCGUAGGGAACCCGUGAAGCGAGCCACCUGGGAAGUACGGCCGCAAGGCCUGAAACUUAAAGGAAUUGGCGGGGGAGCA